AUUGAACGCUGGCGGCAGGCCUAACACAUGCAAGUCGAGCGAGAGGCGGACGGGUGAGUAAUAUAUGUGGGCUGCCCGAUAGAGGGGGAUAACAACUGGAAACAGUAGCUAAUACCGCACAUGAUCGGAGUACCCCUAUGGGAGUAGCUAGUAUGUGGGGUAAUGGCUCACCUUGGCGACGAUCCCUAGCUGGUCUGAGAGGAUGAUCAGCCACACUGGGACUGAGACACGGCCCAGACUCCUACGGAGGCAGCAGUGGGGAAUAUUGCACAAUGGGCACAAGCCUGAUGCAGCCAUGCCGCGUGUAUGAAGAAGGCCCUAGGGUUGUAAAGUACUUUCAGUCGGGAGGCGUUACCGGCAGAAGAAGCACCGGCUAACUCCGUGCCAGCAGCCGCGGUAAUUC
This 403-nucleotide ribosomal RNA is filed under the name uncultured bacterium. RNAcentral's name for it is "partial 16S ribosomal RNA". It matches the Rfam family "Bacterial small subunit ribosomal RNA", at positions 30 to 526 of the family's 1533-position model. The record is from RNAcentral.